AGACUCAAAGACUAAUGAAGCCACCAUUUAAAAGAUGACUUUCUCUUUUCUCUUAGGAUACCUGGGAUGAACUCCUAAUUGGUAGUGUAGAAGUGAAAAAGGUAAUGGCAUGCCCCAGGUAAGGAGCCUAGCUAGACCCCAGGACUGCGGUGUGGCCCACUCAUUGGUUCCUAAGCAUCACCUAACCCUUGGUUAUUGCAUAACAGGUGUAUUUUGACAACGGUGGACCCAGACGCUGGAGUCAUAGACAGGAAAGAGCCACUGGACACCCUGAAGAGCUACCGCCUGUGUGAUCCUUCUGAGAGGCAAUUAUACAAGUUGUCUCCGCUUUUUGGGAUCUAUUAUUCAGUGGAAAAAAUUGGAAGCCUCAGAGUUGGUGACCCUGUGUAUCGGAUGGUGUAGUGAUGGAUCCACUAGGGUGAUAUGGCUUCAGCAACCAGGAGGGAUUGACUGAGAUCUUAACAACAGCGGCAACGAUACAUCAGCAAAUCCUUAUUAUCCAGCCUUAAACUAUCUUUACCCUGGAAAACAAUCUCGAUUUUUGACUUUUCAAAGUUGUGUAUGCUCUAGGUUAAUGCAAGGAAAGUAUUCGAGGUGGGAAUAUGAAAGUAUAUAUAUAAAUUUUAGGUACUGAAGGCUUUAAAAAUAAUUAACAUCAUCAAAAAUGCUAUUUUGAAUGUUAUCAUGGCUAU
Molecule: small RNA, 692 nt
Filed under: Pongo abelii (Sumatran orangutan)
Lineage: Eukaryota; Metazoa; Chordata; Mammalia; Primates; Hominidae
Description: processed transcript
Source: RNAcentral